Lepisosteus oculatus (spotted gar) is the source of this 662-nucleotide non-coding RNA. NCBI's taxonomy places the organism in Eukaryota, Metazoa, Chordata, Actinopteri, Semionotiformes, Lepisosteidae. The record is from RefSeq and is a predicted model, not a curated record.
GGUGUUCUUCACCCCAGCCCGGUGUCCCUGCUAAGUGCCUGGCAGGUUCUUGCCCUUUCCGCAGGCUCAGUCCUUACCCCCGGCGGUGGAGCAGGAGCCCGGUCGUUUCUGCAGAGAUCCCCUCCCUUGCGGUGCGUUCAGUUAGGUCCGAGCUGCGCAGACCUGCCUCCUCACGCACACGUGGCCAGCGAGUGUCCAGCAGCGGGGUUUCCUCCUGGAAAACGCAUAUUUGCUCUGUCGCUAAGAAGCUACAGCGGCCAGCGAACAGAGGCUUCUGUACCAAUUUUUGUUGCGAUUCUGGAUAACAAACCGGACUCCAGACACCCCAGAUACAUCUCUAUCCCCAUACCUGUGGUAGAGGAUCCUCCACAGACCUGGAGAGCUAGCGCCGUCAUUCCAGUCUGUUCCCCAGCAUACAGUAUGUACCAGUUGGCAGCCUGGUCAACGCAUCCUUGCAGGGGGAAUACGGGAGCAGAUGCCCCUACAGUGCCCCACCCAAAGGGAUCUAUUUAGACAUCACCGACAGGAGAAGCCAUCAUGGACAGCACUCAGCACAACUGGCAGUCUGACCUCCUCAGGAACAUAGAGACCUGAAGUGGUUUACAUCUGGAAGAUAAACAUUCACCUACUGUUUCCGCUGUUAAUAAAUGCAUGUGUUCAAA